RNAcentral lists this ribosomal RNA (253 nucleotides) under uncultured bacterium. Its description in RNAcentral is "partial 16S ribosomal RNA". It matches the Rfam family "Bacterial small subunit ribosomal RNA", at positions 524 to 776 of the family's 1533-position model. The record is from RNAcentral.
UACGUAGGGUGCGAGCGUUGUCCGGAUUUAUUGGGCGUAAAGAGCUCGUAGGCGGUUUGUCGCGUCGGCCGUGAAAUCUCCACGCUUAACGUGGAGCGUGCGGUCGAUACGGGCAGACUUGAGUUCGGUAGGGGAGACUGGAAUUCCUGGUGUAGCGGUGAAAUGCGCAGAUAUCAGGAGGAACACCGGUGGCGAAGGCGGAUCUCUGGGCCAUUACUGACGCUGAGGAGCGAAAGCGUGGGGAGCGAACAGG